RNAcentral lists this long non-coding RNA (224 nucleotides) under Panax ginseng (ginseng). RNAcentral's name for it is "long non-coding RNA (PGIN_LNC002429)". The record is from RNAcentral. Lineage: Eukaryota; Viridiplantae; Streptophyta; Magnoliopsida; Apiales; Araliaceae.
CUCUCCCGAGACCGUGUACGCUGAACCUGAACCUACUCCUCCCGAGCAACCAGCUCCUUCCCCAGAAAGGUCAAGACCUUCGCCCGAACGAGCAGGUCCUUCAGGUCAGGGUUAUCAUGCCGAGGCCGUGGGAUCUCCGACUAUGUGGCCUAGAUUCAAUGCCAACUUUCCGUUCGACCUAUUCGGGGCCUUCGUAAGGAACGCUGACGAUCAUCGGUUCAGUG